RNAcentral lists this ribosomal RNA (1138 nucleotides) under Enterococcus lactis. RNAcentral's name for it is "bacterial SSU rRNA". It matches the Rfam family "Bacterial small subunit ribosomal RNA", at positions 61 to 1171 of the family's 1533-position model. Lineage: Bacteria; Bacillati; Bacillota; Bacilli; Lactobacillales; Enterococcaceae. The record is from RNAcentral.
GUCGUACGCUUCUUUUUCCACCGGAGCUUGCUCCACCGGAAAAAGAAGAGUGGCGAACGGGUGAGUAACACGUGGGUAACCUGCCCAUCAGAAGGGGAUAACACUUGGAAACAGGUGCUAAUACCGUAUAACAAUCGAAACCGCAUGGUUUUGAUUUGAAAGGCGCUUUCGGGUGUCGCUGAUGGAUGGACCCGCGGUGCAUUAGCUAGUUGGUGAGGUAACGGCUCACCAAGGCCACGAUGCAUAGCCGACCUGAGAGGGUGAUCGGCCACAUUGGGACUGAGACACGGCCCAAACUCCUACGGGAGGCAGCAGUAGGGAAUCUUCGGCAAUGGACGAAAGUCUGACCGAGCAACGCCGCGUGAGUGAAGAAGGUUUUCGGAUCGUAAAACUCUGUUGUUAGAGAAGAACAAGGAUGAGAGUAACUGUUCAUCCCUUGACGGUAUCUAACCAGAAAGCCACGGCUAACUACGUGCCAGCAGCCGCGGUAAUACGUAGGUGGCAAGCGUUGUCCGGAUUUAUUGGGCGUAAAGCGAGCGCAGGCGGUUUCUUAAGUCUGAUGUGAAAGCCCCCGGCUCAACCGGGGAGGGUCAUUGGAAACUGGGAGACUUGAGUGCAGAAGAGGAGAGUGGAAUUCCAUGUGUAGCGGUGAAAUGCGUAGAUAUAUGGAGGAACACCAGUGGCGAAGGCGGCUCUCUGGUCUGUAACUGACGCUGAGGCUCGAAAGCGUGGGGAGCAAACAGGAUUAGAUACCCUGGUAGUCCACGCCGUAAACGAUGAGUGCUAAGUGUUGGAGGGUUUCCGCCCUUCAGUGCUGCAGCUAACGCAUUAAGCACUCCGCCUGGGGAGUACGACCGCAAGGUUGAAACUCAAAGGAAUUGACGGGGGCCCGCACAAGCGGUGGAGCAUGUGGUUUAAUUCGAAGCAACGCGAAGAACCUUACCAGGUCUUGACAUCCUUUGACCACUCUAGAGAUAGAGCUUCCCCUUCGGGGGCAAAGUGACAGGUGGUGCAUGGUUGUCGUCAGCUCGUGUCGUGAGAUGUUGGGUUAAGUCCCGCAACGAGCGCAACCCUUAUUGUUAGUUGCCAUCAUUCAGUUGGGCACUCUAGCAAGACUGCCGGUGACAAACCGGAGGAA